GCUGAUUAAAAUCUCUCUCUCUCUCUCUCUCUCUCUCUCUCACACACACACACACACACACACAGAGAGAGAGAGAGAGAGAGAGAGAGAGAGAGAGAGAGAGACUGCUUUU
This 112-nucleotide microRNA precursor is filed under the name Podarcis lilfordi (Lilford's wall lizard). The record is from RNAcentral. Lineage: Eukaryota; Metazoa; Chordata; Lepidosauria; Squamata; Lacertidae.